This 399-nucleotide ribosomal RNA is filed under the name uncultured bacterium. RNAcentral's name for it is "bacterial SSU rRNA". It matches the Rfam family "Bacterial small subunit ribosomal RNA", at positions 335 to 721 of the family's 1533-position model. The record is from RNAcentral.
ACUCCUACGGGAGGCAGCAGUGGGGAAUAUUGCACAAUGGGGGAAACCCUGAUGCAGCCAUGCCGCGUGUGUGAAGAAGGCCUUCGGGUUGUAAAGCACUUUCAGUAGGGAGGAAGGUAGUGUAGUUAACACCUGCAUUAUUUGUACGUUACCUACAGAAGAAGCACCGGCUAACUCCGUGCCAGCAGCCGCGGUAAUACGGAGGGUGCGAGCGUUAAUCGGAAUUACGUGGGCGUAAAGCGCAUGCAGGCGGCCUGUUAAGUCAGAUGUGAAAGCCCGGGGUCUUAACCUCGGAAUUGCAUUUGAAACUGGCAGGCUAGAGUCUUGUAGAGGGGUUAGAAUUUCAGGUGUAGCGGUGAAAUGCGUAGAGAUCGUAGAAGGAAUACCGAGUGGCGAAGG